Long non-coding RNA from Magnolia sinica, 228 nucleotides. RefSeq lists it as uncharacterized. NCBI's taxonomy places the organism in Eukaryota, Viridiplantae, Streptophyta, Magnoliopsida, Magnoliales, Magnoliaceae. The transcript is spliced from 3 exons. The record is from RefSeq and is a predicted model, not a curated record.
UAGGUUUUGGUUUAGGUUAAGGUUGAGGUUUAGGUUAUAGGUUAAGGUUUUAGGUCAUAGGUUUUGAUUUAGGUUAAGGUUAUAGGUUUAGGUUAAGGUUUUAGGUCAUAGGUUUUGGUUUAAGUUAAGGUUAUAGGUAUAGGUUAAGGUUUUAGGUCAUAGGUUUAGGUUUAGGUUAAGGUUAUAGGUAUGGGUUAAGGUUUAGGUUUAGGUUAAGGUUUAGGUUUA